This 253-nucleotide ribosomal RNA is filed under the name uncultured bacterium. RNAcentral describes it as "partial 16S ribosomal RNA". It matches the Rfam family "Bacterial small subunit ribosomal RNA", at positions 524 to 776 of the family's 1533-position model. The record is from RNAcentral.
UACGUAGGUGGCAAGCGUUGUCCGGAAUUAUUGGGCGUAAAGCGCGCGCAGGCGGUCCCGUAAGUCUGAUGUGAAAGCCCACGGCUCAACCGUGGAGGGUCAUUGGAAACUGGGGGACUUGAGUGCAGAAGAGGAAAGUGGAAUUCCAUGUGUAGCGGUGAAAUGCGUAGAGAUGUGGAGGAACACCAGUGGCGAAGGCGACUUUCUGGUCUGUAACUGACGCUGAGGCGCGAAAGCGUGGGGAGCAAACAGG